AGUGUGCCCUUUCCCUGCUGACUUUUUAACAGUCUUGGGUAAAUAUUGAUUUGCCCCAGUUUACCUUCUUACUGACUGGCCGUUUGCAGACUAAGAACCCAAUCUCUGUGAAAACUUGAUUUUUGUGUAACUUCCGAGCCCUCUCCGUCCAUCCCCCCAUGCCUUCCUCUCUCUAAGUGGCAUUGUAAAACUCACAGUGACAAAGAGACAAAGUAGGGUUCGAGGCUCCAGUUCCUGGAGACUUGAGGGCAAUUUUACAUACAGGUCAGACACGGCUGGAGGCCAAGGUCAAGUUGAAAGUUGCAGUCUAGUCAGCGUGAGAAAAACAGCAAUGAAAGCCUGGAGACUAGGACAGCUGCGAAGGACCCACCGCCCACCUCUCCUAA
RNAcentral lists this long non-coding RNA (386 nucleotides) under Nannospalax galili (Upper Galilee mountains blind mole rat). RNAcentral's name for it is "HOXA transcript at the distal tip, conserved region 2 (ENSNGAG00000006740.1)". It matches the Rfam family "HOXA transcript at the distal tip, conserved region 2". Lineage: Eukaryota; Metazoa; Chordata; Mammalia; Rodentia; Spalacidae. The record is from RNAcentral.